UGCUACGGCCAUGCUACCCUGAACAAGCCCAAUCCGGUCUAAUCUUGGAAGGUAAGCAGAGUCGGGCCUGGUUAGUACUUGGAUGGGAGACCAGCUAGGAAGACCAGGUGCUGUAGAUG
Molecule: ribosomal RNA, 119 nt
Organism: Pteropus vampyrus (large flying fox)
Lineage: Eukaryota; Metazoa; Chordata; Mammalia; Chiroptera; Pteropodidae
Source: Ensembl